AAAUCAUUUACCUUUCAAUCUUGGAAGGCCCUAAGCUGAAGGAGAGCAUCAAUUGUCAUGAGAGAUAAGCAAUAUCUAUUAGACAUGCAUACUAUCAGGCUAACGCAAACCACUCGGGAAUGAAGUAUACUUACCGUAACUUUCUAUGUGUUGACUUGAGUUUUCCUAUUAGUAAAAGAAACAUGCCAUUUUUUUGCGGUUCAUGGAUUCAUGCUCAAUGUUGAAUUAUUAUCUGAUCUACAAAAGCAUGCCUUACUGCUGCUCAUGGUCACAUGAUUUAUAAUUUAUAACUACAAUUAUUUAAAUCAGUAUCUUGCAUGAAGUCUUGACAUCUAGCUUGAUCAAAGAUUCCACUGUGUGCUUAUUUCUCCAUCAUAUCGCACAAUGAAUAAUAUCAGUAGAUAAAUAUCUCCUUUUUAUGCAAUGAAUUUCAUGAAAUAAAACAGCGUCGAUCAUUGUCUCCGACGUAAUCUUAAGUGCACAGGCAUGUCUUACUGUCACUGCUUUCUUGUAGUAUUAGUGUCGUCUUUGGCUAUUUCCUUUCUUGAAUUUUCCAAUGACAGCAUACAUGCCUAAACAUAUUCAAAGUUGUUGAUUAUUUUGUUGCAAAUAUAGUAUUUAGUAAUUUGACGUGAACCCUUGAAGGUCCAAUUAAGUCUAUUUGACUAGGAAGCUAGGUGAUAUGUGCUCAAAAGAACCUACCCCUGUUAUGCACCAGUUUUGUACCGUAGUGUUGUUUAUGCUGUUAUGCUAUAUAUCUUGUAUUAAUUGAAUUUUGAAGAUAACGAUUAAGGAAUUCAUCUACAAUAGGAACUUACUUCCCAACAAGGAAAGUCCAAUGAUUGGGCAACAACAUGUGGAAGGAUAAUUACUGGAUACUUUUUUUAGCGAACAACUGCGGAGCAAAUGAUUUGCUGUCUCAAAACAUGUAAGUUGUGAUGCCCUCUCUGGAAUCGAAUUACUAAUUCGUAAAACAGGAUCUGGUUCUACAAUUUUAUCAAAAUUAAUUUGGCACUACAAAAACAUUUGUCAUUUCAUCUAGGAAUAUUUUUAAAUAGUUAAUAAAUCAUACAGACUUGAUAUUUUCUUGGUCUCAUGCAACUAUGUGUUGUUUCUUAUUUUACUCAACAAUCAUUUGUGGCAAUUAUGAGUUGUUUUUCGCCAUCCGUACACUAUCCCUUAAUUUUACUACGAAUAUAUGAAAGUACACACCAAGGGGUUUGCGAAAAUUAAAAACACUAGGACACAAGCACGAGUCACCUUAUGAGGUGAUGAUGUAGGAGACACAAUGAGGUUAAAGAGAUGUGAUGGACAUAGAAGGGUAAACCCAUGAGGACAAAGAGAUGUGAUGCACAUAGAAGGAGGAAGCAAGGACCUCGAUCCACAUUAUUGAAGACAUAGAUAAGAACAAGAGUAUCACACUUCACACAUCAACCAAUCAAUGACACGUGUUGGUAUUGGGGCAUAUCGCCCUCCCUUGCAUUAUACCUGUUAAUAUUAAGAUGAAACACUUAGUUGGAUGCAUUUCUCUUAUAUUGUUCUAUGGCAACACCCGAGCAUUCUGCUAGAGAAGAUGCUCGGCUGUAGACAGAAUCAUAUAUUAUAUUAUUAUCAUUAGUAUCAACAUAUUUGUAAAUGUUUUCAUACUCAAUCUAUGAGGUUAGAUUCAACACAAGAUCUAAAGUUUUGUGUGAAGCCAAAUAUGCAGUGUCAGCAAUACUGUUUGAUAGCUUGGGGUAUGAUAAUGCGGCAAACGGCCAACGGCUGGCUAGCUGUGUGGGAGAGCAAGAGAUGUCUCGAGAAACGUCUCACUACAGUGGGAAACCGAGCGGGAAGGGGAGGGUGUGACAGGGAAAAGGAAAUUUGUGUUGCGCCCGCGGGUUGGAGAUAACAAAUGGUGGAUAGUCCGAACAAUGACAUUUCUUCCCCACAUAUUAUCUGGAUAUGGGUAAGUCCGGACUAUCCAGGCGGUUGAAUUUUGGGGAGCUCGUUGGGCACCGGACGUAUGAGGGAGAAAUGAGCUUCGACUUUGAAAACGACUUUAAUAAUUUAUUUGAUUCGUUUAUGUGCAUUGUAGCCCGUAGCAACGCACGGGCAUUGUACUAGUUCUGAUAAAUUCUGAUUCAUGCGUGUCUCUCCCAAAAGGUGGGUACAACAAGGAUUAUUAUGAUAAACUAAAAAGCAAAGACUCAAAUCAUACAAGACGCUCCAAGCAAAACACAUGUCGUGUGAUGAAUAAAAAUAUAGUCUCAAGUAAAGUUAUCGAUAGACGAAAACGAAAGAGGGGAUGCCUUUCGGAGCAUCCCCAAGCUUAGGCUUUUGGUUGUCCUUAAAUUUUACCUUGGGGUGCCUUGGGCAUCCCCAAGCUUAGGCUCUUGCCACUCCUUAUUCCAAAAUCCAUAAAAUCUUUACCCAAAAACUUGAAAACUUCACAACACAAAACUUCAACAGAAAAUCUCAUGAGCUCCGUUAGUAUAAGAAAAUAAACCACCACUUUCUUUAUUUAUAUUGGUGUUAAACCUACUGUAAUCCAACUUCUCUAUGGUUCAUACUCCCCAAUACUAUUCAUAGAUUCAUCAAAAUAAGCAAACAACACACGAAAAGCAGAAUCUGUCAAAAACAGAACAGUCUGUAGCAAUCUGUAACUUUUGAAUACUUCUAUAACUCCAAAAAUUCUGAAAUAAAUUGGUCUACGUGAGAAAUUUGUCUAUUAAUCAUCUGUAAAAAGAAUCAACCUAAAAGCGCUUUCCAGUAAAAAAUGACAGCUAAUCUCGUGAGCGCAAAAGUUUCUGUUUUUUACAGCAAGAUCGCAAAGACUUCACCCAAGUCUUUCCAAAGGUUCUACUUGGCACAAACACUAAUUAAAAUAUAAAACCACAUCUAAACAGAAUCUAUAUGAAUUAUUUAUUACCAAACCGGAGCAAAAAGCAAAGAACAAAAAUAAAAUUGGGUUGCCUCCCAACAAGCGCUAUCGUUUAACGCCCCUAGCUAGGCAUAAAAACAAGAAUAGAUCUAGGUAUUGCCAUCUUUCGUAUACAAUUCUUCAAUUGAACACACAUAAACCUUAGGAGGUUCUUUGGUCUUAUUAAUGAUCAAACUCCUAGGCAAGAAAUCAAGAAAUUCAUUUGUAGCAAAAGGUUUCUUAAUGAUAUCGAAAAAGUUGGGGUGAACACUUAUUGAUUUGAGGUCUUCAUUUUCCUUACUAGAGUAUUCACCCUUAUUUUUAGGAACAUAGAUAAACUCGGCAACUUUGGUAGGAGGAGGAUUUGAGGUAUUUUUAAUGGCAGAAAAAGUGGACCCCAAGUUGGUAAUAAUAUCUUCGAGUUUAUCAAUUCUAGUGGAAUCUUGAUCUAUCUUCUCAUUAACUGUGGGUUCCUUCUCCCUAAGAUUUUUCAGAGUAACUCCUACCUUAGAUCCAUAUUGGGUAAUUUGGUUGUGGAUCUUUUUAUCCAAAUUUUCGAUUAACUCUACAGUGGAAAUUUUAUUUUCAAUAAUAUCAAGCCUUUGCAUCACAUGUUCCAAAGUUAAAAUAGUUUCAUUGACCAAAAAAGGUGGUGGGCCUAACAAAUCUAUCAUAGCAUUAUAAGAAUGAAAAGUAUGGCUUCCCAAGAAAUUCCCUCCGGUAAUGGUGUCAAGAACAUAUCUAUUCCAAGGAGUGAUGCCUACGUAAAAAUUGUGAAGAAGAAUGGAAGUGGAUUGCUUUCUAGUAGAUCUAUUUUGAGCAUUGCAAAUUCUAUACGCAGCAUCUUUUAGAUUUUCUCCCUCCCUAUGUUUAAAAUUGAGAACUUCAUUAUCGGGAGUAUUAACAAUGAUAGGAGGACUAGCCAUGAAGGCGAAACAAAUGAUCUAACACACGGAUGCACAAGAAGCAAGCGAAAAGAGGCGAACGAAAGAGGGGCGAAGAAAAGGCAAAGGUUUUCGAAAAUCAUUUUAGAAGUGGGGGAGAGGAAAACGAGAGGCAAAUGGCAAAUAAUGUAAUGCGAGGGGAAGAGUUUAUGAUGGGUACUUGGUAUGUCUUGACUUGGCGUAGAUCUCCCCGGAAACGGCGCCAGAAAUCCUUCUUGCUACCUCUUGAGCAUGUGUUGGUUUUCCCUUGAAGAGGAAAGGAUGAUGCAGCAAAGUAGCAUAAGUAUUUCCCUCAGUUUUGAGAACGAAGGUAUCAAUCCAGUAGGAGACAACGCACAAGUCACCUAGUACCUGCACAAACAAUCAAGAACCUUGCAACCAACGCGAUAAAGGGGUUGUCAAUCCCUUCACGGUUGAGGGAGUCCUGGAUUAAGGGGUCCUCGGACGUCCGGCCUAUGUGACGUGGGCCGGACUGAUGGGAGAUGAAGAUACAAGACAGAAGACUUCCUCCCGUGUCCGGAUGGGACUCUCCUUUGUGUCGAAGGCAAGCUUGGCGUUCGGAUGUGAAGAUUCCUUCAUCUGUAAACCGACUCUGUACAACCCUAGGCCCCUCCGGUGUCUAUAUAAACCGGAGGGUUUACUCCAUAGAGGCGAUCAUAAUCAUACAGGCUAGACAUCUAGGGUUUAGCCACUACGAUCUCGUGGUUGAUCAACUCUUGUAAUCCUCAUAUUCAUCAAGAUCAUUCAAGCAGGAAGUAGGGUAUUACCUCCAUUAAGAGGGCCCGAACCUGGGUAAACAUCAUGUCCCCCGCCUCCUGUUACCAUCGACCUUAUACGCACAGUUCGGGACCCCCUACCCGAGAUCCGCCGGUUUUGACACCGACAUUGAGAGUUCCACUGUGUCGUCAUCAGAAGGUUCGAUGGCUCCAUCAGUCACCUACAACAAUGCUGCCUUGGGGGAGGUUUUUCUUCCCGGCCAGAUCGUCGUAUUCAGCGGCUUCGCACUUCGGGCCAACUCGCUUGGCUGUCUGGAGCAGAUCGACAGCUACGCCCCAGGUCACCAGAUUAGUUUUGGAAAUCUGGACUAUGUCGCUGAUAUCCGAGGAGACUUGAUCUUCCAAGGGUUCACGACCCCAACCUCCGCUCUGGCUUAGAUUCGGAGCGCAUCGCCAGGUCCGAAGACGGGAUUCCUGAGCCCGCCGGACUAUCUGCGACCACUAAGCCCAGUAUGGAGAGCCGGAGGAAGUAGUAUCGCUGGCAACCAUCAAGAAGCUGGACUCUUCUCCGGACACUGGCUCCGAACCCUCGGAGUCAACAUCGUGUGAGCUCGGCCAGGGAAUCCCCUUCCCAUCGUACUCCACGGACUCUCUUCUCCCUGGCCAAACCUCGCAUUUAAGCGAGGCUCUGGACUUGAUGCGAUCCCUCGUCAUUACAGAGGAGCAACGUCCGAACUACGCCCAGCCCGGACUAGGGGCUGAGAGCGGGGAAUUUUACGUCCCACCCACCACCCACUUCAUAGCCACUGUCGAGGACUUAACUGACAUGCUCGACUAUGGCUCUGAAGACAUCGACAGUAUGGACGACGAUGCCAGAGAGGAGCAGGCCCAAAACCCGCCGUUUACCGGACGCUGGACGGCCGCCACUUCGUAUGACGUGUACAUGGUGGAUACACCCAAAGAGGGUAACGGCUAUAACGAGAAGAAUCCAGUCGAGGAUAAACCUCCUGAGAUACAACCAAAGUGCCGACGUCAGCGGCGCCGCUCUAAAUCACGCCGUGGAAAAGACAGCAAUACCGGCACGAGAGACAAUAAUACUCCGGACGAUGCCGAAGACGAAGAAGAACCUGUCGAGCCAACCUCUGAACAGGACGAUCAGGAAGAUGGGCAAGUUAGCCCUGAUGAACAGGCCGUAAACAAAGACUCGGAGGACAACAAUUAUCUUCCACUCUCCGAGGAUGAGGUGAGCCUCGGCAACGAAGACUUUAUCGUGCCUAAGGAACCUCUCGAGCAGGAGCGCUUUAAGCACCGGCUAAUGGCCAUAACAAGGAGCCUGAAAAAGAAGCAGUAGCAGCUUCAAGCUGAUCAAGAUCUACUCAAUGACAGGUGGACUAAUGUCCUGGCAGCCGAGGAAUACGGCCUCGAGCGCCCAACCAAAAGUUACCCGAAGUGUAAACUUCUACCCUAAUUCGAUGACGAGGCACUGGACCCCGUAUCAUCGGCGCGUAACGCGGCUGACCGACCACCACGUGGCCGGGACAAGACGACAAUUCAAGCCGAACACUAGCCCAUACCACCUCGUCGUAAAGGUAGAGACACAACAGCUCGGGGAUAUACAUACGACCUGCGGCAGGACCUGGAAAAUAGAGCAGGUCAGACCAGAUUGAUCUACGGAUCGCGGGGGCGUGCCCCGAUGCUCGACGACGGCUAUCUAGUCGGACGUGACAAGCAUAACCACAUUCGGGCCGAAAACCGCAGACGGACUCCAUCCGAGCAACGACACGACUUGGCCCGAUAUAGAGGCGCCGCACACCCCCUCUGCUUUACUGAUGGAGUAAUGGAGCAUGAAUUCCCAGAAGGGUUUAAACCCGUGAAUAUCGAAUCAUAUGAUGGAACAACAGAUCCCGCGGUAUGGAUUGAGGACUUUCUUCUCCAUAUUCACAUGGCCCGCGACGAUGAUCUUCAUGCAAUCAAAUACCUCCCGCUAAAACUCAAGGGACCCGCUCGGCACUGGUUAAACAGCCUGCCAGAGAACUUUAUUGGCAGCUGGGAGGACUUGGAAGACACCUUCCGCGACAACUUCCAAGGUACAUACGUCCGACCUUCGGAUGCCGAUGACUUAAGUCACAUAGUCCAACAGCCCGGAGAGUCAGCCAGGAAAUUCUGGACCAGGUUCCUAACUAAAAAGAACCAGAUUGUCGACUGUCCAGAUGUCGAAGCCCUAGCGGCCUUUAAGCAUAGCAUUCGCAAUGAAUGGCUCGCCCGACACCUCGGCCAAGAAAAGCCGAAGUCCAUGGAAGCCCUCACAGCACUUAUGACCCGCUUUUGCGCGGGCGACGAUAGCUGGCUAGCCCGUAGCAAUAAUAAUGCAAGCGAACCUGACACCUCUGAAGCCAGAAAUAGCAACGGCAGGCCCCGACGUAACAGGCACAAGUGUCAAAACAACGGUGACAAUAUCGAUGACAUGACGGUCAACACCGGAUUCAGUGGCUCCAAGUCCGGCCAGCGGAAGAAGCCAUUUAAAAGAAACAAUCCAGGCUCAUCCAGCUUGGACCGCAUACUCUGUCGGUGUACAAAAGUAGGGGCUCCCCUUUUGACCCCUUUACUUGUGCACGGGCAGUCAGAGCCACGCGCCACGGCCACACUUAGCAAGGCAGAAGAGGGAAGCCAGAGAGAAGCCAAAGCACAAGACAACCAAGGCAACGCCAAGACCAGAAACGCAAGAGAGCAAGAGGGCGAGGUGGACUCCCUCGGCAAGAUCCUUGCCGAGGCAGCCUCCGUAGCCCCGGCAAGAGCCUUGCCGGGCGACCUGCCCGAUGCCAGCAGAGCAAGCCACCCUUGAGCCCAUGGGUCCCAACACCACCAACUACAUUGGAACCAAGGCUCGGGAGGCACCUCUGAGGUGGCAUGCAGAUCUUCGUCAAGAUCAUAAACAUGUGAGAUCAGAUGAGGACUAGAAGACGGCGACCCUCGGCGGGAUCCUAGCCGAGGGAAUCCACAAGACCCCCGGAAAGCGCCUUGCCGGGGAAGAUUGCAACGCCACGGCAAGACCCUUGCCGGGCCCCCGGCAAGACCCUUGCCGAGGGCAUCAGCGGGGCCACUGCCAGGUCCACGCCAGCCAAGACUCCGCCGCCGUCCCCAAGCAGCUGCUAGCUCAACCAGCUGGGCAGGCACCUGCGUGGCGACGGGCGGCCUCUACACCGACUCAGCAAGCACCUGCGUGGUGGCAUGCAACCCUUCGUGAAGGCUCCACCACCGCGCCAGCCCAGCAGCUAGCCGACGUGGCGCCUCGACGCCUCAUCAGCUCGAACGCGUGUCAAGGCCAGGUGAGGCGGCGACAGCUGAGACGUGCUUCCUUGCCGUCCCUGAUAAAGCAAGGGGGGCACGUCGGCAGCGCAUUAAAUGCGUUUGUCUGACGGUCCCAGAGGAUAGGCUUAUCAACCGUAGACCUUUCCACCUCCCGUGUGCCACUGUGGCGAUCCCUUUUGCCUAUAAAAGGAGGCCCGAGGCGACCAGGAGAGGGAUUCGGCUCUUUUGGGCAAGUUGCACCCCGUAGCUAGCUCAAGAACACAAGAACACUCAAUACAUCCACCAAAGCAGGACUAGGGUAUUAUGCAUCUUCGCGGCCCGAACAUGUGUAAACGACCUGUGUGCUUCCUGUCAGACCUGCUCUUUGCACAACCUCGCGCCCGCCGACCGUAGAAGGGAUCCCAGUGAGCCCGUAGGUGUCGUUCCCACCGACAUCUUUGGCGCGCCAGGUAGGGGGGCGCAGUUGUGAGAAUCUGGUCUAGCAGUUAGCCUAGCAGUUCUUCAUCGCCAUGGCUCCCAAGAAGAAGGCGGCCACGGCGGUCGGUUCGACGGGAGCCGGAUGGCCCGUAUCGGUGCGGGCAAGCAGCGGGCCGGUCGCGGACAGGACCCGAGGCACGACCCGCGAGCAACGACAUCGCCCUGGUAGUCAGAGCCUAGCGAGCGGCUUCAUGGCGGCCGUCCUUCCAAGGAAGAAGACGACCGAGCUUGACGCCACCAUCUGCGCAUGCGGUGGACGCCCGUGCGACGACAGAAAAGCUAAGUCAUGCGAAACUUUGAGCAAUUUCCUUUUUAUAUAUGAGGUUAUUGUCCUCGAAGGUCCUGCCCUAUGUAUGAAAGCCUGCACGCAAAGGGACCCUUCCGCAAUUGGCAACGCCCUUGUUCUGUUUCGAGUCUGCUCAACAGCUCAAGCGGCCGCGUCGAGAGUGGCAGGGUAGCCUUCCGCAAUUGGCAACGCUCUCGAUUCUGACUCUGCAUAAUAAAGGCCUUACCCGUCGCGAUUUUCCUGGUCUCCUGGAUUUUCUGGAGGGCACCCUGGGCUUCAACCCGGGCCUCUUGUGCGCUUUGGCGGGCCUUGGCAAGUUCGGACUCUUGGUCCGCAAUAUUGCGUUCCAAGGACUCGCAUUUCUUUACGGCGUCCUGGAGCUCCUGCUGGACCUCCCCGACUCUGGCCUCAUGUUUUUCGCGGGCGGCUUGUUCUUUCGCCGCUUUCUUCUGGGCCUCGGCCAGCGCGUUCUUGAGGGACUCCACCUCGGUCGCAACACCUAUGAAAUAUCAUGAUAACAUGAUCAACACAAACAAUUCAUAUCUUUUUAGAUCUGAAUAGUCCAUUGCAUACCUUGCUUGUCCUCUAGUUGUUUUUUCACACGACCGAGCUCUUCCUCGGCCCGCUCCAGACUCUGCUUCAGUUUGGAGACUUCGGCAGAGUGGGAGGUCGCAGCCAGCAUCGACGCCUGCUUAUUUACAUAGACAUGUAUGGUUAGUCUCCUGCGAAAAUUAUUUGAUCCUCUGUCCGGCUUUUCUUUUCGAACACCGGACAGAGUCUCAGGGGCUACUGUCUAUACUAUGACAUUCUUUUUGCAUAAAUUACGUCGCAUACCUCAAAACCUGUUAGAAGGCUGGUGUAGGCUUCGGUCAGUCUGCUCUUAGCGGACUGAACCCUCUCAACCACCGUACCCAUGAGGGUACGGUGUUCCUCAACAAUGGAAGCACUUUGCAGUGCUUCCAGUAAAGUAUCCAGUGCCUCUGGAUGGACAGAGGUCACCGGCGGAAUAGGUGCACCUCCUUCUUUCGAAGGAAGCUACUUGCCUGAUUCCGGAGCCGUAUGGGCCUCCGGAAUAGUAUUCGGCUGGGGGGCGAAUUGGAUAUGGCCCCCAACGCCAGUCUCCGGGGGGAUUUGCACCCCCAUGUGUCCGGCGGCCGAGGUAUCACCCUCUGGCGCCACCCUGACGGCCUCCUGUAUCUCUCCCUGGCCUGGGGAGGUCCUUCAGGACAGCACCUCGGCGUCGUCCAUGGACUUGGGAGAGGAGGCCGCCGGAAGUGACCCGCUGUCCAUCACCUUCGGAUCCAGCGAAUUCCCCGAAGAUGAGGAUCGCUUGGGGCAGGCGUGGGCCGGACUGCAGUGCAUGAUUCGACAUAUUAAAACCACAAAGUAAAGAAGUUGGAUAUAUGUGUGUAUAAGUGCCUUUGAGUACUUACGAUUGGGCCAGGGGCUUCUCCCUGGGGUGCCACUCGGAGCUGCUACCGGUGUCCAACGCGGAGUUGUCCACGAGGGAGAUCUUCCCCUUCUUGGACGCCUCUGCCUCCAGAUCCAUGGAGGCCGCCCUAUUCUUCCUUCCCCCCUCGGGGGGAGAGUUGCCUUCCUCCUCCUCCUCGUCCUCGGCGGCGACAGAGUGGUUUUUGGCGUCUUCAGACAUCACGUCCGAAGUGCCUUUACGGCAGAGGCCACUUCUGGUCUCCUUGGCCUUCUUCUCCGGCGCCUAGUAGGGCGCCGGAACCAACAUCUUCGUUAGAAGUGGGAAUGCUGGAUUUUUGGGCAGCGGAGCCGGACACUGGAUCCGCUCCGCCUUCUUUGUCCAGCCCUAAAAAGACAGACAGGGAAGCUCAGAUAUCUUCCUUGAAUGUACAGGUGAAGGAUACACCUUGAAAUAUGAAAGCUUACCGAACUGGCGGGAUGGGUCAGGUUAUACCCACGGUCCUCGGUCGUCUGCGGCCACGUCUCAUUGGCCUUGAAAAGCACCUUCCAGAUGCCUUCGUGCGUGGAGCCGAAGAACUGCUGCAAGGUCUGGUGCUUGGCCGGAUCGAACUCCCAUAAAUUGCAAGUCCGGCUUUGGCAAGGAAGGAUCCGGCGAAAAAGCAUCACCUGGAUCACAUUGACAAGCUUGAUGUUCUUGUCCACCAUGCUCUUGAUGCACAUCUGUAGCGCUGACACCUCGUCCGACGACGCCCAGUCCAGGCCCUUCUCUAGCCAGGAGGUAAACCGCAUUGGGGCCCCGGACUUGAAUUCGGGAGCCGCAGCCCAGGUGGUGUCGCGGGGCUUUGUGACGUAGAACCACUGCUGCUGCCACCCUUUGACGGUCUCCACAAAAGUGCCUUCGGGCCACGUGACAUUGGACAUCUUGCUCACCAUAGCGCCUCCACACUUUGCGUGUUGACCACCCACCACCUUCGGCUUCACGUUGAAGGUCUUUAGCCACAAUCCGAAGUGGGGUGGGAUGCGGAGGAAGGCCUCGCAUAUGACAAUGAAUGCCGAGAUGUCGAGGAAGGAGUUGGGGGCCAGAUCAUGGAAAUCUAGCCCAUAGUAGAACAUGAGUCCGCGGAUGAAGGGGUGGAGAGGAAACCCUAACCCGCGAACGAAGUGGGGAAUGAACACCACCCUCUCAUGGGGCUUCGGGGUGGGGGUGAUCUGCCCCUUGGCCGGAAGCCGGUGGGCGAUUUCCUGGGCCAAGUACCCCGCUUCCCGGAGCUACGUGAUGUCCUUCUCCGUGACGGAGGAGGCCAUCCACUUGCCCUGCGCUCCAGAUCCGGACAUGGUCGGAGUGCUUUUUUGAGGCGGAAAGGAUGGAAGCUUGGGUGCUGGAGCUCGAGAAUGGGUGGGCAGAGAUAAAGAAGGCGUGGGUGAAAAGGUGAAUCCUUAUCUCUUUAUAAAGGAAGCAAAUAUCAAGCGCGUCCCCAUUCGCCUUAAAACUCGCCUAUUCCCCAAGGGUCAUGCAGACGACGCGGUUGGAUUACCCACGCCCAUAUUGAUGAGAAUCCCGCAAUAAGGGGACACGAUCUCUGCUUUGACAAGACGUGCCAAUGGAAACCGCAUCUCGAAACACGGAGCGGGAGGCUAAAAAGGUUCGAAAUAAUGACCGGGCGGAGACGUGGCGUCUCACUACAGAAGAUGUCAGUAGAUGGGACUUGUUAAAUAUUAUACUCUUUGCGGAGCUUAUUUUGCAGAGCCAGACACGUUAUCUGUUCGAAGACUACUUUGGAAUAUUCGAAGGAGGAACCCGCCUUGCAAUGCUGAAGACAAUCCGCGCGUCGGACACAUCGGCAUUGAAGCCUGGUUCAGGGGCUACUGAGGGAGUCCUAGAUUAAGGGGUCCUCGGGCGUCCGGCCUAUGUGACUUGGGCCGGACUGAUGGGCCAUGAAGAUACAAGAUAGAAGACUUCCUCCCGUGUCCGGAUGGGACUCUCCUUUGCGUGGAAGGCAAGCUUGGCGUUCGGAUAUGAAGAUUCCUUCCUCUGUAAACCGACUCUGUACAACCCUAGGCCCCUCUGGUGUCUAUAUAAACUGGAGGGUUUAGUCCGUAGAGGCAAUCAUAAUCAUACAGGCUAGACAUCUAGGGUUUAGCCACUACGAUCUCGUGGUAGAUCAACUCUUGUAAUCCUCGUAUUCAUCAAGAUCAAUCAAGCAGGAAGUAGGGUAUUACCUCCAUCAAGAGGGCCCGGACCUGGGUAAACAUCGUGUCCCCCGCCUCUUGUUACCAUCGACCUUAGACGCACAGUUCGGGAUCCCCUACCCGAGAUCCGCCGGUUUUGACACCGACAACGGUCACUCUCAAAAGUGAGAUCUAAUAGAGAUAGUAAAGUAAAUAUUUUUGGUAUUUUUGUUGUAUAGAUUGGAAAGUAAAGAUUGCAAAAUAGUAAACGAGAUGUGAUGUAAAUAAAAGAGAUGUAAUAUAAUAGGAAAGAGACCUGGGGGGCAUAGGUUUCACUAGUGGCUUCUCUCAAGAUAGCAUGUAUUACGGUGGGUGAACAAAUUACUGCCGAGCAAUUGAUAGAAAAGCGCAUAGUUAUGAAGAUAUCUAAGGCAAUGAUCAUGAAUAUAGGCAUCACGUCCGUGUCAAGUAGACCGAAAUGAUUCUGCAUCUACUACUAUUACUCCACACAUCGACCGCUAUCCAGCAUGCAUCUAGAGUAUUAAGUUCAUAAGAACGGAGUAACGCAUUAAGCAAGAUGACAUGAUGUAGAGGGAUAAACUCAAGCAAUAUGAUAUAAACCCCAUCUUUUUAUCCUCGAUGGCAACAAUACAAUACGUGCCUUGCUGCCCCUACUGUCACUGGGAAAGGACACCGCAAGAUUGAACCCAAAGCUAAGCACUUCUCCCAUUCCAAGAAAGAUCAAUCUAGUAGGCCAAACUAAACCGAUAAUUCGAAGAGACUUGAAAAGUUAUCAAACCAUGCAUAUAAGAAUUCAGAGAAGAACCAAAUAAUAUUCAUAGAUAAUCUUGUUCGUAAAUCCACAAUUCAUCGGAUCUCGGCAAACACGCCGCAAAAGAGUAUUAAAUUGAAUAGAUCUCCAAGAACAUCGAGGAGAACUUUGUAUUGAGAAUCAAAGAAAGAGAAGAAGCCAUCUAGCUAAUAAUUAUGGACCCGAAGGUCUGUAGUAAACUACUCACGCAUCAUCGGAGAGGCAAUGGUGUUGAUAUAGAAGCCUUCCGUGAUCGAUUCCCCCUCCGGCAGAUCGCCGAAAAAGGCCCCAAGAUGGGAUCUCACGGGUACAAAAGGUUGCGGCGGUGGAAAAGUGGUUUUGUGGCUCCCCCUGAUGUUUCUAGGGUAUAAGAGUAUAUAUAGGCGAAAGAAGUACGUCGGUGGAGCUACGACGGGCCCACGAGGGUGGGGGGCGCGCCCUCCUGCCUCGUGGCUUCCUCGUGGCGUUCCAGACUUCGACUCCAAGUCUCGUGGAUUGCUUUCGGUCCAAGAAAUAUCAUCGCGAAGGUUUCAUUCCGUUUGGUAUUCCGUUUCUGCAAAACUCUAAAAUAGGAAAAAACAGAAACUGGCACUGGGCCUUCGGUUAAUAGGUUAGUCCCAAAAAUAAUAUAAAAGGGCAUAUUAAAGCCCAUUAAACAUCCAAAACAGAUAAUAUAAUAGCAUGGAACGAUCAAAAAUUAUAGAUACGUUGCAGACGUAUCAGAAAUCGCCGUGAAUUCAUUUUUAUUCGAGCUGAUUUGAGAAUUUUCUUUCAUUCAUAGAAUAUACAGUGCGCCGACACUUCAGGACUUUGCGACCGCCGCCAGAGAUUCCAUCUCACCGUACCAGAUAACUUGAGGAUGUGCACGGUAUGUUCAAUGUCACCCUAUAUCGGUUGGCAUGGCCUACUUUCCUGAGCAUAUUCUAAAUAUUGCUACAUUUGGAUAAAAGGUGCCACAUGCACCAUUUACGUCAAAGGGGAUUUUCCCCCCUCUUCUUUCUAUAUUAUGCAAAUUAAUGAUGUAUUGUUCUUUCAAUUACUCUCAUAUUUCCAUGACAUCAUGUCUACCCUUAUAGAUUUUUGUCCUACGAUUUCAACUGCUGUACAAUUCUUUCAAUUUGGGCCCAUAUUUGCAUGUUACCAUAUUUUCUUUAACAAUCCUACCAUUUUCUGCAGAACAUCCCUUGCUAUGCAACAGAUUAUGUAGUGCACAAUUUUUCUCUUUACAUAGAUCAAGGCUCCACAGAUGUCAUAGUGCACACAAACCAUGGAUUUACAAUCGUUGCUACUGUAAGACUUGAUGAACGUGGUGACUCCUAUUUUGCCACUGGCUUUUGGAAAGAAAUUGCAAAGUUUUAUGUACUGAAAGAUGGCAUAAAAUUGCACUGCACAUAAAAGGGCCUGGUCAUGAGAUAUAUGCUAACUUCCCCGACAAAAUCAUCCGUCUAGACUUUGUUCGAAGUAAAUUUUCUUUUCAACUAUCUGCAUGUUGACUUACCCAGCAAUGUCAAAUGAAUUGUGUAGUAUUUAAGAAACCAAUUGUUAUUCUCUUUUCUUACUAUAUUCCAACCUAAUAACUUCUAGUUAUCAAUACACUUUUCUAUUGCCCCGUUUUAACUAAAUAUUCCCUGUACUCUCAUUUCUAUCAGAAAGCGCCGCUGACAAGGAGACUCCGGAGGUGGAGAACGGGGCUGCCAACAAGCGGAGGCGGGGUGAGCUAGAACCGCAAGCGACUCCAGCAAGCCUAGACUUCAUCAGCAACCUCCCCGAUGAUAUGUUGAAAGUCAUCAUCUCCCUCCUCCCAAUCAAAUAGGUUAGGCGAUUUUGUAGUCGGGCCAAGGCGACUAUGUGUAAGGGCUUAGGCGGCUCUUUUGUGUGACUUGGGCUUGGGAGAGUUAGUGUUUUCAGAUACUCUAGGAUUGCGGCGACUAUGUGUUGGUUGGUAGGCGACUCUGUGUCGCAAAUUUAGGGGUGUUGUAAGCGCCUUUAGCAUGUGGGUUUGGUCGAGUUAGUUUCCCCGGUUAGGAGACUACGUAUAAGGGCUUAGGCGGCUCUUUUGUGUGACUUGGGCUUGGGCGAGUUAGUGUUUUGUGAUACUCUAGAUUGUGGCGAUUAUGUGUUGGUUGGUAGGUGACUCUAUGUCGCAAAUUUAGG
This 15199-nucleotide long non-coding RNA is filed under the name Triticum aestivum (bread wheat). RNAcentral describes it as "long non-coding RNA (TAES_LNC024291)". The record is from RNAcentral. Lineage: Eukaryota; Viridiplantae; Streptophyta; Magnoliopsida; Poales; Poaceae.